UUCUAUCUUCUUUCAAUUUCACGUCCCCUUCUUCUCUCUUCUCUUUCUGCAAAAUAGAAACCGCUCAUCCUCUCUUUCCGCCGCCCCUUUCCUUGCCGUUUCCGACCACCACCAGCCCAAAGAGAAAAAUUAAUACCACCACUGAUAUCCUCUCUUUUUCCUCUUCUAUAUAGUGUAAUUUAAUUUUAGAUCGGAAGAAUUUUGAAAUUUAACAUCCCCACCUUCUCUCUUAUUUUCCGGCCUCCAUGGACUCUCUAUGAGAAAAAUAAACUUAUAAAUAUCUUCCUCUCAACAAUAUCUACAAAACCCACAAAUAAAAUUCAUGAUCGGACAACCUUUUCCGAAAAACCACUGUACCAAAAAUCGCACCACCGUGCCGGAAAUCGUAACAUGUUCUACCGCCGCCGCCGUUGUGUGUUUGAGGGGUUGAAAGUGUGAACAAGACAUGAGACUUUGUCGAGAGACAGGUUGUGCUCGCAUAACGUAAGUUGAACGUGUGGAAAGCUUCCUAAGGUUCUUUUUAGAUUGUGAGAUUCGCUAUUAUCACGGUGGCCUGGAGUCAUAUCAGGAAGACGGCCAGUCUGGUGUUGAUAAGCGGGAGGCUUGAAGUUGUUGCGGGUCGUUGUUACCCAACCAUCUUCAGUUAGAGUCCAGUGAUCAGCUUAGGGGUUGUUGUAAGGGUCUCUUUUACUCUUCCUCAUUGUUUUCUCUGUAACUUGUAUAUGGUAAACCCUGCUUAUUUAUUUGUUGAAAUAAAUAUUGUCAUUUUGUUCUUCUAGACAGGAUGUUUGAUUUGUGUUCUUAAACAUUUCAUUGAGAAAAUAACUUAUAAAAGAGGCCUUGUAUUCUAA
This is a long non-coding RNA of Vicia villosa (hairy vetch), 851 nucleotides long. RefSeq lists it as uncharacterized. NCBI's taxonomy places the organism in Eukaryota, Viridiplantae, Streptophyta, Magnoliopsida, Fabales, Fabaceae. The transcript is spliced from 3 exons. The record is from RefSeq and is a predicted model, not a curated record.